Molecule: microRNA precursor, 78 nt
Organism: Cavia aperea (Brazilian guinea pig)
Lineage: Eukaryota; Metazoa; Chordata; Mammalia; Rodentia; Caviidae
Source: Ensembl
CCUUGAGCUCACUUUGUAGCCCAGGCUGGCCUCAAACUCUCAGUGAUCCUCCUGCCUCAGCCUCCUGAGUGCUGGGAU